UACGGGGGGAGCAAGCGUUGUUCGGAUUUACUGGGCGUAAAGGGCGCGUAGGCGGCCAGCACAAGUCAGUUGUGAAAUCUCCGAGCUUAACUCGGAAAGGUCAACUGAUACUGUGCGGCUAGAGUGCGGAAGGGGCAACUGGAAUUCUUGGUGUAGCGGUGAAAUGCGUAGAUAUCAGGAGGAACACCAAUGGCGAAGGCAGCACUCUGGGACGUGACUGACGCUGAGACGCGAAAGCGUGGGGAGCAAACAGG
Molecule: ribosomal RNA, 254 nt
Filed under: uncultured bacterium
Lineage: Bacteria
Description: partial 16S ribosomal RNA
Rfam family: Bacterial small subunit ribosomal RNA
Source: RNAcentral